This 1454-nucleotide ribosomal RNA is filed under the name uncultured bacterium. Its description in RNAcentral is "bacterial SSU rRNA". It matches the Rfam family "Bacterial small subunit ribosomal RNA". The record is from RNAcentral.
GAGAGUUUGAUCCUGGCUCAGGAUGAACGCUGGCGGCGUGGAUAAGGCAUGCAAGUCGAAAGGGUUUAGACCCUUGGCAGACGGGUUAGUAAUGCAUAGGAAUGUACCCUCAAGUCGUGAAUAACCCUGAGAAAUCGGGGAUAAUACACGAUAGUUCUCUUCGGAGUAAAGGUUUACUGCUUGAGGAGCAGCCUAUGUCCUAUCAGCUUGUUGGUAAGGUAAAAGCUUACCAAGGCUAUGACGGGUAGGGGGCGUGAGAGCGUGACCCCCAACAUUGGCACUGAGACACUGGCCAAACACCUACGGGUGGCUGCAGUCGAGAAUCUUCCACAAUGGACGAAAGUCUGAUGGAGCGACGCCGCGUGCAGGAUGAAUGCCUUCGGGUUGUAAACUGCUUUUCUAUGGGAACAAUUUCGUGAGCUUACCAUAGGAAUAAGGGGUUGCUAACUCUGUGCCAGCAGCAGCGGUAAUACAGAGACCUCAAGCGUUAUCCGGAUUUAUUGGGCGUAAAGGGUGGGUAGGUGGAUAUGGUAGUCAGGUGUUAAAUCAUCGAGCUCAACUCGGUGGCUGCACUUGAAACGCCAUACCUAGAGAUAGGCAGAGGCCAACGGAACUCAUGGUGUAGUAGUGAAAUGCGUUGAUAUCAUGGGGAACACCAAAGGCGAAGGCAGUUGGCUGGGCCUUAUCUGACACUGAGCCACGAAAGCGUGGGUAGCGAAGGGGAUUAGAUACCCCCGUAGUCCACGCCCUAAACGAUGCACACUAGUCAUUGGAAGUUUCGACCCUUUCAGUGUCGUAGCUAACGCGUUAAGUGUGCCGCCUGGGAAGUACGAUCGCAAGAUUAAAACUCAAGGGAUAGACGGGGAUCCGCACAAGCGGUGAGCAUGGUGGUUUAAUUCGACAUAAGCGAGGACUUACCAAGGUUAGAAAUCCUGCUGCAUAUUUCUAAGAAACUAGAAUAGCCUUCCAGGGUGCAGGACAAGGGGUUGCAUGGUUGUCGUCAGCUCGUGCUGUAAAGUGUUCCAUUAAGUUGGGUAACGAGCGCAACCCCUACUGCGUGUUACAAGUGUCACGCGGGACUGCCCAGCACUAAGUGCAUUUUUUUAAAAAGUGCGUUUGGUGCUGGGAGGAAGGUGGGGAUGACGUCAAAUCAGCAUGGCCCUAGACACCUUGGGCUACACACGUGCUACAAUGGCUGGUACAAAGGGUUGCCAAACCGUAAGGUGGAGCUAAUCCCAGAAAACCAGUCUCAGUUCGGAUUGAGGGCUGCAAUUUGCCCUCAUGAAGUUGGAAUCGCUAGUAAUCCCGAAUCAGCAAUGUCGGGGUGAAUACGUUCUCGGAUCUUGUACUCACCGCCCGUCACACCAAGGGAGCCGGUAGCACCCGAAGCACCUCUUUAUAGGGGUACCACGGUAAGAUCGGUAACAAGGGUGAAGUCGUAACAAGGUAGCCGA